This 253-nucleotide non-coding RNA is filed under the name uncultured bacterium. Its description in RNAcentral is "contains 16S-23S intergenic spacer region". It matches the Rfam family "Bacterial small subunit ribosomal RNA", at positions 524 to 776 of the family's 1533-position model. The record is from RNAcentral. RNAcentral also lists the same sequence under 1 other name.
UACGUAGGUGGCAAGCGUUGUCCGGAUUUACUGGGCGUAAAGCGUAUGCAGGCGGAUCAUUAAGUAGGAAGUGAAAGGUUGGAGCUCAACUCCGACACUGCUCCCUAUACUGGUGGUCUUGAGUACCGGAGAGGAAGAGGGAACGACACGUGUAGCGGUGAAAUGCGUUGAGAUGUGUCGGAACACCAAUGGCGAAAGCACUCUUCUGGACGGAAACUGACGCUGAGAUACGAAAGCUAAGGUAGCGAACAGG